Molecule: long non-coding RNA, 354 nt
Filed under: Homo sapiens (human)
Lineage: Eukaryota; Metazoa; Chordata; Mammalia; Primates; Hominidae
Description: non-protein coding lnc-ATP6V1E1-3:1
Source: RNAcentral
AAAUGGAUUUCUCAAUCUUGAGAAGUUCUCUCUGAUGCAGAGAAUAGGGAAUUCUAUGACAAAGGAGGACAGGCAAUUAAAGAGGGUGGGGCUGGUGGCAGUUCUCAUUCCCCCAUGGACAUCUCUGCUAAGUUUUUUUGGGGGAGAAGGAAGGAUACUAAGAGAAAGGAGAGGUAAAAACUCCUACAUCAGCUCUCAGUAGCCUUAGGAGAUCUAUCCAAUGGUGAAAAAAGAAAACUGGCUCUGCAAAAGAAUAUGAUUUGUGACAAAUGUGAAGGCAGAGGUGUUAAGAAGGGAGCAGGAUCCUGCUGUGCCAACUGCUGAGGUGCUUGAAUGCAAACAGUAAUUCAUCAA